GCUUUUUCUGAGGCCUUCCCCAGUCACAGCAGCAGUUGGUCAGUUCCUCUUUCCUGCAGCUUUCCUCAGCGAAAGAACUGUACUGCUUUGUGGUAUAAAAUAAUUCUGGCUUAUUUCAUUUGCCCUUUUUUUUUCUUUCCUCCAUUCCAGGUAUUUUCUGUUAAUUCUCUCACAAUGAUAGAAAUGAUAGGCACGUGCUCAGUAUCAGUAUGGGAUGCUAAUAGGUGGUAUCUGUGAUCUUGGCCCUCCCUGUGUUUGUAGAACUGGUGAGAAUAGGUUUGAUUAGUUUGUAGGAAACGAAAGGCUAAGAGCAGUGCUUUGAGGCACAGAAGGUAAAGUAAAUCCCAGUGGAUGUUCAUUAGUGAAGGGAGGGAGCGUAUAAAGAGGAG
This 389-nucleotide long non-coding RNA is filed under the name Gallus gallus (chicken). Lineage: Eukaryota; Metazoa; Chordata; Aves; Galliformes; Phasianidae. The record is from RNAcentral.